GCGAGUUCCGUACGGCCAGCUACGGCUCAGCAAGGCCCCGGGCGGUCUACGAAACCGAAGGUCACAGGUUCGAAUCCUGUCGGGCGCG
RNAcentral lists this transfer RNA (88 nucleotides) under Gemmatimonadota bacterium. Its description in RNAcentral is "Gemmatimonadetes bacterium (permafrost metagenome) tRNA-Arg". Lineage: Bacteria; Pseudomonadati; Gemmatimonadota. The record is from RNAcentral.